CAUGCAUGUCUAAGUAUAAGCAAUUAUACGGCGAAACUGCGAAUGGCUCAUUAUAUAAGUUAUCGUUUAUUUGAUAGCACCUUACUACUUGGAUAACCGUGGUAAUUCUAGAGCUAAUACAUGCUAAAAAUCCCGACUUCGGAAGGGAUGUAUUUAUUAGAUUAAAAACCAAUGCCCUCUGGGCUCUCUGGUGAUUCAUGAUAACUUCUCGAAUCGCAUGGCCUUGCGCCGGCGAUGGUUCAUUCAAAUUUCUUCCCUAUCAACUUUCGAUGUUUGGGUAGUGGCCAAACAUGGUUGCAACGGGUAACGGAGGGUUAGGGCUCGACCCCGGAGAAGGAGCCUGAGAAACGGCUA
This 354-nucleotide ribosomal RNA is filed under the name uncultured Hypocreales. Its description in RNAcentral is "SSU rRNA". It matches the Rfam family "Eukaryotic small subunit ribosomal RNA", at positions 50 to 409 of the family's 1831-position model. Lineage: Eukaryota; Fungi; Ascomycota; Sordariomycetes; Hypocreales. The record is from RNAcentral.